UGGCGACCAGAGCAAGUGGGUACCACCUGAUCCCAUCCCGAACUCAGAAGUGAAACCAUUUAGCGCCUAUGAUAGUGUGGU
Molecule: ribosomal RNA, 81 nt
Filed under: Aquicella lusitana
Lineage: Bacteria; Pseudomonadati; Pseudomonadota; Gammaproteobacteria; Legionellales; Coxiellaceae
Source: RNAcentral